Molecule: ribosomal RNA, 1257 nt
Filed under: Triticum aestivum (bread wheat)
Lineage: Eukaryota; Viridiplantae; Streptophyta; Magnoliopsida; Poales; Poaceae
Description: partial small subunit ribosomal RNA
Source: RNAcentral
AUGAUGAUGGGUUUGCUGGCAUUUGAGAACAACCAGGGGCUCUGGAAUGGCGGAUAUUAUUCACAGUUUUUUGGAAUUGGAGGAGUUAUGGUGACUGUUGCAAUUCUUUGGUUAUCUACGGGUUAUUUUGGAGGAAUUGGUGCUCCUUUUGCUCCAUACUUUUGGCCAUAUUUAGGACAAGUCCCCAAGAAGAAGGAACGGCAAAGGCCCGUGAGAGUCUACAUGGAUGGAUGCUUUGACCUCAUGCACUAUGGCCACGCAAACGCGUUGCGACAGGCCAAGUUGCUGGGAGAUCAACUGGUAGUGGGCGUUGUCAGUGACGAGGAGAUUGUGGCGAAUAAGGGCCCGCCUGUGCUUUCGAUGGAAGAGAGGUUGACGCUUGUUAGUGGAUUAAAGUGGGUGGAUGAAGUCAUACCCAAUGCACCCUAUGAGAUUACGGAGGAAUUUAUGAAUACCCUCUUCAGUAAAUACAACAUUGAUUACAUUAUACAUGGAGAUGACCCUUGUCUUCUACCUGAUGGAACGGAUGCUUAUGCCUUAGCAAAGAAGGCUGGACGAUACAAGCAAAUCAGGCGUACUGAAGGUGUCUCAAGCACCGAUAUAGUCGGGAGAAUAUUGCAAACAUUCAAGCAUAAAGAGGGUGUUAGUGAGAAUGCUGGAGUGGAAUCAUGCGAUCAGAUGAAAACCCAGCUAUCCAAUUUUCUUCCAACUUCCCGCCGGAUAAUGCAGUUUUCAAAUGGGCAGGCUCCUUCACCAGGUGCUCGUGUUGUUUAUAUAGAUGGUGCAUUUGACCUUUUCCAUGCUGGUCAUGUUGAGAUCCUUAGAAGUGCUAGGCAACUUGGUGACUUCCUUCUUGUCGGUGUUCAUGAUGACCAGUCCAUCAGGGAAAAAAGAGGCUAUCCUCCUAUCAUGCACCUCCAUGAGCGUACCCUUGGUGUACUUGCCUGUCGCUAUGUUGACGAAGUUAUAAUAGGCGCACCAUUGGAGGUUUCAAGGGAUAUGAUCACUACAUUCAACAUUUCAUUGGUUGUGCAUGGGACAGUAGUCGAGGGUGGUUCUGCUAGUGAAGUUGAUCCGUACGCCCUUCCAAAGAGCAUGGGUAUUUUCCAAGUAGUCACAAGCCCCAAAACAAUAACAUCUGUUUCGGUCGCUACAAGAAUAAUUGAUAACCACGAAGCGUACAAGAAAAGAAACUUGAAAAAGAAGGCGAGUGAAGACAAGUACUACACGCAAAAGAAAUUUGUCUACGGAGACUAA